Molecule: long non-coding RNA, 1343 nt
Organism: Varroa destructor (honeybee mite)
Lineage: Eukaryota; Metazoa; Arthropoda; Arachnida; Mesostigmata; Varroidae
Source: RefSeq, a predicted model, not a curated record
GCUUCUAUACGUCCACAACCGAUACGUUACACUAAAAAUUAGCACAUGUCUACAGAAGAUAGCAGUACCAUAUAGAAAACCAGAAUUAUGUGGUUACGACAUUGCGAAAGUACAGCAUCGCCGUACGUACGACGAUAAGCUACAUAAGCAACAAACACACACAAGGCAGAAGUUUGUGGCCGUCGUACAAGUUUAGGCUGCCCCUUUUUAUAACUGUGACAGGGGUAUGACGUCGCGUCGGUCGUUUGCCGGCAACAGGCUCGUGCAACUUCGUACUGUGAGCUCCGAGUGGGCGAAACUCUUCCUGCUAUCACCAUCGCAAACAUCAGCGUCAAUCGCUUGUAAAUCGUAAGCGACGUUAUACCUCACUGAAUUCCUUCGACUUUGUGAAAACCUUUGACAAAUGAAACUUUGCGUGGAUGGUGUUUCCGAUGAAGCGGCGUAAUCAAACAGAAAGUCGACAGAAGAUUAUCUUACCAGGCUUACUCUCUUUGGUAUCAUCCUGUGAUUGGGAGCAGAACGAAUAGAGCCCCAGACAACAGCGGAAGAUCAGCGACAGUCAUUUUUCUUACCUUUAUAACAAGGAUACUGCUGGCGCGGAAAAUAGAUAACGGAAAUUCGUUUUAUUAUCAUUAUUAUUAUCUAGCCAAAACAACUACAGUAAGGGUGACAUUAGGGCCGUAAUCGUACUGUUUGAGCAUUCGUCUACUCCGGCACCUUGGCGUUCCUAUCAGCAGCUCCGUGUAGUACAUGUUGAAUGCAUUUACUUAAUAGUAUGACAACGUUUAUACAGUGCGAGCGCGAACGGUAUUUAGAUGGCGGCAAUAAUGAGUCAGCGAAAGCCUCCAGGAUGGACAAACAAAAUGCGGGCUCGCUUGCCUUACACACCCCCAAGUGCACGGACGCACCUGAAGCUGUAAAAAAAAAAGCGUUAUUUCCAAAAAAUGACAGCGCUUAUUUGUGUCGCCAGGGCUGUGCGCAUUGUUGGGUUUCUUGUCAAUGCUGAUUUUUCAUUGCUGGACCUAUCUGCCCCAUGGCUGGGUUACUAAAUAGUUAUCGACAAAUAAUACCCGUUGUUACUAUAAAAACAUUAAGUAAAGAUGUCGUGCAAGACAAUAUACGUCCUGUAGAUUAUAGACACGUUCAGAAUAAAGGCGUAUUAGAGAAAGUAGCUACAGAAAGAAGCAAGAAGAUGUUAUAAUGGAUAAAACGCUCUUUGCUAGACCAACGAAAAAGGAGUCCUAUAAGUGACACAGUCCAGGUACGUGGAGAAAGGUCACUCGCAAAUCUGCAUAUCUGUUUGCCUUCAUUCAUCGAAAGCUGACAGAUGUAGCCCAUGUCUC